RNAcentral lists this ribosomal RNA (561 nucleotides) under Boana multifasciata (many-banded treefrog). Its description in RNAcentral is "partial 16S ribosomal RNA". It matches the Rfam family "Bacterial large subunit ribosomal RNA", at positions 1926 to 2637 of the family's 2925-position model. The record is from RNAcentral. Lineage: Eukaryota; Metazoa; Chordata; Amphibia; Anura; Hylidae.
AACGGCCGCGGUAUCCUAACCGUGCGAAGGUAGCGUAAUCACUUGUUCUUUAAAUGAGGACUAGUAUGAAUGGCACCACGAGGGUUAAGCUGUCUCCUUUUUCUAAUCAGUGAAACUAAUCUCCCCGUGAAGAAGCGGGGAUCGCCCUAUAAGACGAGAAGACCCUAUGGAGCUUAAAACAAAUUAACACCUGCUUCUAUCCACUCUCCUUCCUGAAUUAACACAUAAAAUAUAGCACUCUUGAUUAAUAGUUUUCGAUUGGGGUGAUCAUGGAGCAAAAACCAACCUCCACGACGAAAAGGAGCACUUCCCUGAGCUAAAAGCUACAACUUUAAGCACUAAAAAAUUAACGCACUUUGACCCAAAUUUUUGAGCAACGAACCAAGUUACCCUAGGGAUAACAGCGCAAUCCAUUUCAAGAGCCCCUAUCGACAAAUGGGUUUACGACCUCGAUGUUGGAUCAGGGUAUCCCAGUGGUGCAGCCGCUACUAACGGUUCGUUUGUUCAACGAUUAAAACCCUACGUGAUCUGAGUUCAGACCGGAGAAAUCCAGGUCAGUUU